RNAcentral lists this non-coding RNA (22 nucleotides) under Arabidopsis thaliana (thale cress). Lineage: Eukaryota; Viridiplantae; Streptophyta; Magnoliopsida; Brassicales; Brassicaceae. The record is from RNAcentral.
UGAUCGUGGUGGUCGCGACAGU